This 71-nucleotide transfer RNA is filed under the name Caudoviricetes sp. RNAcentral's name for it is "tRNA-OTHER". It matches the Rfam family "tRNA". Rfam says of the family: Transfer RNA (tRNA) molecules are approximately 80 nucleotides in length. Lineage: Duplodnaviria; Heunggongvirae; Uroviricota; Caudoviricetes. The record is from RNAcentral.
UGAAAUGUAGCUUAAUUGGUAGAGUGCCAGCGCAAGAGCUGGAGAUGGAGGUUCGAACCCUCCUAUUUCGU